GGGCGUGUGGCGCAGUGGUAGCGCGUCCGCUUUGCACCAGUCAGAUGAGCUUGCGGAAGGGCUAGGUAAGGGAAUCCACGCCUUUACUCCGGGAAUUGAGGCUAACAUGUCGAAGGGUUCGAUCCCCUACUCGUCCA
This 137-nucleotide transfer RNA is filed under the name Pseudocercospora musae. RNAcentral describes it as "Mycosphaerella musicola tRNA". It matches the Rfam family "tRNA". Rfam says of the family: Transfer RNA (tRNA) molecules are approximately 80 nucleotides in length. Their secondary structure includes four short double-helical elements and three loops (D, anti-codon, and T loops). The record is from Rfam by way of RNAcentral. Lineage: Eukaryota; Fungi; Ascomycota; Dothideomycetes; Mycosphaerellales; Mycosphaerellaceae.